This is a long non-coding RNA of Gallus gallus (chicken), 1777 nucleotides long. The record is from Ensembl. NCBI's taxonomy places the organism in Eukaryota, Metazoa, Chordata, Aves, Galliformes, Phasianidae.
GGAGCCACUGCCAAAUCCAAGGCUACCUUGAGAAAGAGUUCUUCCAGUACUUCAAGCUUUUCCUGGAAGAAACUGAGCAUGUUAAAUGCUCUCUUCUUUGUAUCUGAAGUAAUGUUACUUUCUGUAAUGUUACAUCCUGUAGCCUUGAUUAUCACUAAAAUUAUGUUGACUUCAGUGGAAUUAUUCUCUUUUAUAUGUUAGUAACUACUGCAAGAAUGGUUUCUGGAAGCAUUCUUUAAGGAAGGAAAAUACUAAUAUAUAAAGUUGUAUGUUUUUAUAUGUAUGUUUCGAGAUCUGGAUAUUACAUACUAAAAUUCACUAAAAUGCUGAAAAGAUCCAUUUUGUUUCACUAAAUGCCUAUUUACAUUAAAAAAUAAACAAAAACACAAGUAUUUCCAAUAUCUAGGGCACUCUGUACAUUUAGAAAGCCUAUGCUAUAUAGCCAAAGCCCAUUAGAAAUAUUUUUUAUGUAAAAAAAUAUUUUUGUAAAUAUUUCCAAAAUCAUGAUAUUCAAAUAAGAAAUAUAUUUCCUAGCUGUGUUCCAAGGUUAUAAAUUCAGAUUCCAGGAGCAGAUGCUGAAUCCUUUGUAGCUCCUUAACAAUAAUGCUAUGUGAGGUUUGGAUGUGCAAACUAACUCUGAUUGCUUGCAUGUUUAGAAGUAGAAUGGGGAAGAACAAAUAGCAAAAAAAAAAAACUUUUCUUAAAGCACAGCUUUUGGUUAUGUAGUGGUUCUCUAUUUACUAGCACUGUCUUUUCCCAACUUUUUAAAAGAUUGUUAGAUUGUUAUUUAAUAAAAUUCUCAGAAAAAAAAAUCUUACUUUUUUCAUAUUUUCAUGACUGGCAAUGAAACAGCAAUCACAUAAUACCACCGUGCAUUUCUGAAUAUUAAUUUCUAUUGCUGCAUAUUUUUUACAGACUUUCUUACAACUAUUUUCUUGGUAAGGCUUUGAAAUGUUGAGUUUACUACAAACUGUGGAAACAGUGUAUCAAAGAUGUGAACAAAUACGCUGUUCAUUAAUAUUCAGCGCAAAUUCUUUUUCUAGCUUUAUUACUAAAAAACAGCAUAUAGACUUUUUCUGACUAACUGAUAAUAAUUUUACUUCUUUUUCUUCAACUGCAACUUAGAAGCCUGUUUGCUGCCUGGCUUUAAUCCUGUUGUUUAAUAAAGAAAUAUGAGUGGAUUUCAGGAAAGAAAAAUAACAUAUAAUAGUGAUUUCAACCGUGCUAAAAGCCAUUCAGCAAAACACUCCAAUAAAGUAUCAGCAGCAUGCCACAACAAGUCUAUAGCUUCUUUACUUGGAUUUUGUAGAGCAGGAUCCUACAGUCUUCCAGAGGCUCACUGAGACCUUGGCAGCACAAAAAGCAUAUGACAGAGGAAGCAAAUAGUGCCACAAGCUGGGGAUCUCAGUAGACUAUUGUCUUGAGAACACUCUCUCAAUCAAAACUGUCAGGUUUGAUUCCUUUGGCUCUACUCUGAUUUUGUGGUAAUAAAUAACAUAUUCAAGCUGCUGUGAGCAGCAUAUUGUACUACUUGCAAGACGAAAAGACCACUAAAUCUAAGCAAAAAUCCAAAAGUGCCUACAAUUUUGCUGGAAUUAAUACAACUGCGUAGUUCAAAUAUUCUUUCCUAGUGAGUAACCAAAUGCAUUUUCAUUCUAUUUAAAGUACAAGUAAUAGUGCAGUGUAAUUGUGUUUUCAUAAAUAAAAAUACUAGAGUUUCGCUUGUAAAAAUUUCUGAAUGACUGAAAAAAUCCAAUAAAGGAUCGUUUGAAACAUC